AGUGAACGCUGGCGGUAGGCCUAACACAUGCAAGUCGAACGGCAGCACAGUAAGAGCUUGCUCUUACGGGUGGCGAGUGGCGGACGGGUGAGGAAUACAUCGGAAUCUACUUUUUCGUGGGGGAUAACGUAGGGAAACUUACGCUAAUACAGCAUACGACCUACGGGUGAAAGCAGGGGAUCUUCGGACCUUGCGCGAUUGAAUGAGCCGAUGUCGGAUUAGCUAGUUGGCGGGGUAAAGGCCCACCAAGGCGACGAUCCGUAGCUGGCCUGAGAGGAUGAUCGGCCACAUUGGAACUGAGACACGGUCCAGACUCCUACGGGAGGCAGCAGUGGGGAAUAUUGGGCAAUGGGCGCAAGCCUGAUCCAGCCAUACCGCGUGGGUGAAGAAGGCUUUCGGGUUGUAAAGCCCUUUUGUUGGGAAAGAAAAGCAGCAGGUUAAUACCCCGCUGUUCUGACGGUACCCAAAGAAUAAGCACCGGCUAACUUCGUG
This 492-nucleotide ribosomal RNA is filed under the name uncultured bacterium. RNAcentral describes it as "partial 16S ribosomal RNA". It matches the Rfam family "Bacterial small subunit ribosomal RNA", at positions 29 to 507 of the family's 1533-position model. The record is from RNAcentral.